GUCUCUGCUCUCACACUCAUCGAUGUCUGCGGAGAGAAGCACCAACACCUCAGCAUUCCCUGAGCCUGCCAUCAACACAGAUUACUGCUGCCAAUGGGAGUCUGACAGAAGCACUGUGACUAGACUGGGGCUACUGGUGGUUUUUGAAGUGUGAGAAGAUUCACCAAGCCCAUCCUCCCUCCAGGAAGAUAUCAUCUGCUGCUG
Ficedula albicollis (Collared flycatcher) is the source of this 204-nucleotide long non-coding RNA. RefSeq lists it as uncharacterized. NCBI's taxonomy places the organism in Eukaryota, Metazoa, Chordata, Aves, Passeriformes, Muscicapidae. The transcript has 3 exons. The record is from RefSeq and is a predicted model, not a curated record.